RNAcentral lists this transfer RNA (70 nucleotides) under Wyulda squamicaudata. RNAcentral's name for it is "tRNA-Trp". It matches the Rfam family "tRNA". Rfam says of the family: Transfer RNA (tRNA) molecules are approximately 80 nucleotides in length. Their secondary structure includes four short double-helical elements and three loops (D, anti-codon, and T loops). The record is from RNAcentral. Lineage: Eukaryota; Metazoa; Chordata; Mammalia; Diprotodontia; Phalangeridae.
AAAGAUUUAGGUUCAAAAUAGACCAAAGGCCUUCAAAGCCUUAAGCAGGUGUUAAACCACCUAAUCUUUG